This 1516-nucleotide ribosomal RNA is filed under the name Salmonella enterica. Its description in RNAcentral is "partial 23S ribosomal RNA". It matches the Rfam family "Bacterial large subunit ribosomal RNA", at positions 1 to 1556 of the family's 2925-position model. The record is from RNAcentral. Lineage: Bacteria; Pseudomonadati; Pseudomonadota; Gammaproteobacteria; Enterobacterales; Enterobacteriaceae.
GAGGUUAAGCGACUAAGCGUACACGGUGGAUGCCCUGGCAGUCAGAGGCGAUGAAGGACGUGCUAAUCUGCGAUAAGCGCCGGUAAGGUGAUAUGAACCGUUAUAACCGGCGAUUUCCGAAUGGGGAAACCCAGUGUGACUCGUCACACUAUCAUUAACUGAAUCCAUAGGUUAAUGAGGCGAACCGGGGGAACUGAAACAUCUAAGUACCCCGAGGAAAAGAAAUCAACCGAGAUUCCCCCAGUAGCGGCGAGCGAACGGGGAGGAGCCCAGAGCCUGAAUCAGCAUGUGUGUUAGUGGAAGCGUCUGGAAAGGCGCGCGAUACAGGGUGACAGCCCCGUACACAAAAGCGCAUGUGCUGUGAGCUCGAUGAGUAGGGCGGGACACGUGGUAUCCUGUCUGAAUAUGGGGGGACCAUCCUCCAAGGCUAAAUACUCCUGACUGACCGAUAGUGAACCAGUACCGUGAGGGAAAGGCGAAAAGAACCCCGGCGAGGGGAGUGAAAAAGAACCUGAAACCGUGUACGUACAAGCAGUGGGAGCACCCUUUGGGGUGUGACUGCGUACCUUUUGUAUAAUGGGUCAGCGACUUAUAUUCUGUAGCAAGGUUAACCGAAUAGGGGAGCCGGAGGGAAACCGAGUCUUAACCGGGCGUUAAGUUGCAGGGUAUAGACCCGAAACCCGGUGAUCUAGCCAUGGGCAGGUUGAAGGUUGGGUAACACUAACUGGAGGACCGAACCGACUAAUGUUGAAAAAUUAGCGGAUGACCUGUGGCUGGGGGUGAAAGGCCAAUCAAACCGGGAGAUAGCUGGUUCUCCCCGAAAGCUAUUUAGGUAGCGCCUCGUGAAUUCAUCUCCGGGGGUAGAGCACUGUUUCGGCUAGGGGGCCAUCCCGGCUUACCAACCCGAUGCAAACUGCGAAUACCGGAGAAUGUUAUCACGGGAGACACACGGCGGGUGCUAACGUCCGUCGUGAAGAGGGAAACAACCCAGACCGCCAGCUAAGGUCCCAAAGUCAUGGUUAAGUGGGAAACGAUGUGGGAAGGCCCAGACAGCCAGGAUGUUGGCUUAGAAGCAGCCAUCAUUUAAAGAAAGCGUAAUAGCUCACUGGUCGAGUCGGCCUGCGCGGAAGAUGUAACGGGGCUAAACCAUGCACCGAAGCUGCGGCAGCGACGCUGAUGCGUUGUUGGGUAGGGGAGCGUUCUGUAAGCCUGUGAAGGUGGCCUGUGAGGGUUGCUGGAGGUAUCAGAAGUGCGAAUGCUGACAUAAGUAACGAUAAAGCGGGUGAAAAGCCCGCUCGCCGGAAGACCAAGGGUUCCUGUCCAACGUUAAUCGGGGCAGGGUGAGUCGACCCCUAAGGCGAGGCCGAAAGGCGUAGUCGAUGGGAAACGGGUUAAUAUUCCCGUACUUGGUGUUACUGCGAAGGGGGGACGGAGAAGGCUAUGUUGGCCGGGCGACGGUUGUCCCGGUUUAAGCGUGUAGGUGUGUGUUCCAGGUAAAUCCGGUUCACUUUAACAC